Long non-coding RNA from Mauremys mutica (yellowpond turtle), 2021 nucleotides. RefSeq lists it as uncharacterized. The record is from RefSeq and is a predicted model, not a curated record. The transcript is spliced from 2 exons. Lineage: Eukaryota; Metazoa; Chordata; Testudines; Geoemydidae.
CAAAAUUAUUCAGCAUUUGGCUAAAAAUACAUAGUUUCUAAUGAAAAAAUAUUCAAUUUUCAGCAGGUUUUGAUUAAAAAAAAAAGCUUGAUAUUUCAUCAAAAACUUUCCAUGAGGGGGAAAAAAAACCCAAACAUUUUCCAGCCAACCUCAGUUGAGCUCCCAAGGUCCGUCUGCCUCAUAUCGCCCACUGCAGGAUACGUCUGCUAUCUGUUGUCACAGUGUUGAGCAAAUCAGCCCAGAAUUUAAGAGGUUCCCGCAGAUCAAGAGGUCUGGAUGCCUGGUAACUGAGCAACCAAAUCCCUCUUGCUCUGCAGCUGGUUUGUGAGGGUAGAAUGCGGCACUGUAAUUCAUGAAGAGUGAUAUCCUUCCCUGAUUUUAACUUCACUGAGAGGAAACAAGUCCAGCUGCAGUGUAACAGGACCUCCUCUUCCUGCCAGCCAGCCUGGCCAAGACUAUAUUUAACUCAAGGACACAUGCCAAGAGCUGACCUUCAUGGGGGACCCAGUAACUGGAUGCCCAGACGCUACCCUGCACCCCUUGGACACACCCCACAAAGAGAGAGUGAUACUAGGACAGGCAUGGCCCAGCUGGAACAGACAAACAGCUGCAGAGCUCAGCUGAGCUAACAGGUCUGACUGACAGUUCUUGGGGCUCUUUUUGCAGCCGGUACUUACGGUAUGAUCGUCUUGGCGUGGCGGCGGGGGGGCUGGGUCCUCAGCCUGCUUUGUGGGGCAGGAGGUCGAGAGAGGAGCGCUCCUCUUUAAUGAGUGACACCUUGAGACUUCGGCGAGCAAGACAGCAAGUGGAGAGAGGUGACAUUGCACUACACCACUGCGUACAAUCCCAGUCUGAGCCCUGCAUGCCACAAUAAGCCCACAUUGCACGUGCACGUGCACACACUCAUCCCUUCCAGUCCUGUGUCCCUCUGCUACUGGCGAGGGCGAGACAGUCCAGCAACUCUAACCCUGGGGUAACCCUGGCGUCCCUGCACUGCGCAAUCUUACUGAGAUGCAUGAGUCAAGCUCGGGGCUGCUGCCACAUUCCCAUGGCGGUUUCCUUUGUAUCACCCUGGCACAAGGCAGCUGGCAGGUCCAGGUGCUCCUGUUUAGCCAAUUAAGAGGGCAGGACAGCACCUGGAGGCUAUAAAGACUCAGGUGAGAAGUGCUUGAGACCUGCGGACUGCAGGAUUCCUGGAAGGAAGCAGAAGGUGGUUCAUGGAAGAAGGCUGAAAGUAGGCGAGCAGCAAGAGAGGUUUGUUGGGUGGUGUGCCCGAGCCAGGGCUGGAGCAGCAGCUGCAGAGGGUGUUACCUGCUGGCUCAGAGCCAGAGACAAGGGCUGGAGAGGGCUGAAGACAGCAGGGCAGUGGAGGGGCUGAUCUGCUGAUAUCUGCAGGGCUGGAGAGCUGGACCCUGAGGAACAACGAGAGGGCCAAGGGGCUUGAGGGAGGGUCCCAGCGGAGAGGCUGAGUGGGUUCCUGCUGGGAAAAGCAGGGCUGUGUUCCUGUUGGAAGGGCUGGGGUGGCCAUCCUGGUACAAGGACAGGAGAGAACGAACAGAGUCUGGGGCUGAAGGUGCUGGUAUGUGGGGCACCGUGGUGUGGGGCAGCUUGAUUUUUAAUGAGUAGCUGCACUGGGGGCAGAAGUGGACUAUGUCUGGGGCUCUUGUUAUGGACUAUUUCGGACUAGGUUGUAAUAAGCCAGCCUCAAGGUGGGAAUCAUAUUGAGACAAGAGAGCCUGAAAUGAAGUUAUUGAGUGACUGGAGGGGGAAACUGAGGCAGGUGUGCUGGUCAGGUCAUGACCUGCCACAGGGGUGACAUACUCUCUACGGCAGAUUUCACUGUCUAGUUUUUAAUUAAGGGCUACACUGAUAGUUGUACAUCUGGGAAUGGGACCCAGAAGUUCUGGCUCCUAACCACUACACCUCACUCCUCUCCCAGAGCUGAAAAUAGAACCCGGGAAUCCUGGGUCCCACUCCCUCCUGCUCUAACCCACUAGAACUCUCUCAGGUCGCAGAGGUGG